RNAcentral lists this unclassified non-coding RNA (404 nucleotides) under soil metagenome. Its description in RNAcentral is "partial contains 5.8S ribosomal RNA, internal transcribed spacer 2, and large subunit ribosomal RNA". The stretch from base 1 to 121 matches the Rfam family "5.8S ribosomal RNA", at positions 35 to 154 of the family's 154-position model. The record is from RNAcentral.
GAUGAAGAACGCAGCGAAAUGCGAUAAGUAAUGUGAAUUGCAGAAUUCAGUGAAUCAUCGAAUCUUUGAACGCACCUUGCGCCCUUUGGCUAUUCCGAAGGGCAUGCCUGUUUGAGUAUCAUGAACACCUCAACUCUCAUGGUUUGCCAUGAUGAGCUUGGACUUUGGGGGUCUUGCCGGCCUAUGGGUCGGCUCCUCUCAAAUUAAUCAGCUUGCCAGUGUUUGGUGGCAUCACAGGUGUGAUAACUAUCUACGCUUGUGGUUUUCCAUCAGGUAACCUUCAGUGAUGGAGGUUCGCUGGGGCUCAUAAAUGACUCUCCUCAGUGAGGACAGCUUUUUUGAACGUUUGAUCUCAAAUCAGGUAGGACUACCCGCUGAACUUAAGCAUAUCAAUAAGCGGAGGA